This 74-nucleotide transfer RNA is filed under the name Microbulbifer sp. ZGT114. It matches the Rfam family "tRNA". From Rfam's summary of the family: Transfer RNA (tRNA) molecules are approximately 80 nucleotides in length. The record is from Rfam by way of RNAcentral. Lineage: Bacteria; Pseudomonadati; Pseudomonadota; Gammaproteobacteria; Cellvibrionales; Microbulbiferaceae.
GCGCCGGUGGUGGAUGGGUAGACGCGGCAGGUUUAAACCCUGCUUUAUUGCGGGUUCGAAGCCCGCCCGGCGCA